Molecule: ribosomal RNA, 303 nt
Filed under: uncultured bacterium
Lineage: Bacteria
Description: bacterial SSU rRNA
Rfam family: Bacterial small subunit ribosomal RNA
Source: RNAcentral
UCGGGAAUAUUGCGCAAUGGAGGCAACUCUGACGCAGUGACGCCGCGUAUAGGAAGAAGGUUUUCGGAUUGUAAACUAUUGUCCACAGGGAAGAAAAAGACUGUACCUGUGAAGAAAGCUCCGGCUAACUACGUGCCAGCAGCCGCGGUAAUACGUAGGGAGCAAGCGUUAUCCGGAUUUAUUGGGUGUAAAGGGUGCGUAGACGGGAUAACAAGUUAGUUGUGAAAACCCUCGGCUCAACUGAGGAACUGCAACUAAAACUAUUAUUCUUGAGUGCAGGAGGGGAAAGUGGAAUUCCUAGUG